This 497-nucleotide ribosomal RNA is filed under the name uncultured bacterium. RNAcentral describes it as "partial 16S ribosomal RNA". It matches the Rfam family "Bacterial small subunit ribosomal RNA", at positions 28 to 507 of the family's 1533-position model. The record is from RNAcentral.
GAUGAACGCUGGCGGCGUGCCUAAUACAUGCAAGUCGAGCGAACAGACGAGGAGCUUGCUCCUCUGACGUUAGCGGCGGACGGGUGAGUAACACGUGGAUAACCUACCUAUAAGACUGGGAUAACUUCGGGAAACCGGCGCUAAUACCGGAUAAUAUAUUGAACCGCAUGGUUCAAUAGUGAAAGACGGUUUUGCUGUCACUUAUAGAUGGAUCCGCGCCGCAUUAGCUAGUUGGUAAGGUAACGGCUUACCAAGGCAACGAUGCGUAGCCGACCUGAGAGGGUGAUCGGCCACACUGGAACGGAGACACGGUCCAGACUCCUACGGGAGGCAGCAGUAGGGAAUCUUCCGCAAUGGGCGAAAGCCUGACGGAGCAACGCCGCGUGAGUGAUGAAGGUCUUCGGAGCGUAAAACUCUGUUAUUAGGGAAGAACAAAUUUGUAAGUAACUAUGCACGUCUUGACGGUACCUAAUCAGAAAGCCACGGCUAACUACGUG